UGAAACCAGGAUUAGAUACCCUACUAUACUAAGAUAAUAGAAAAAACUAGAAUAUUAAAAGAUAUGGUCUUUAAAUUCAAAGAAUUUGGCGGUAAUUUAGUCUUUCCAGAGGAACCUGUUUUUUAAUCGAUAAACCGCGAAUAAUCUUACUUACUUUUGUAAAUUUAAUAAGUUUGUAUACCGUCAUUAUCAGAUGAUAUUUAGAGAUAAUAUUAUUGGGUUUUAAAUAGUAAAAAAAAUUAGAUCAAGGUGCAGCUAAUAGGUAAGUUAAAAUGGGUUACAAUUAAUUAGAUUUAAUAAUGAAUAAGGAUUUGAAAAACCCUUGGAAGGGGGAUUUGGUUGUAAUAAAAAUUAGUAUGAUAAAAAGAUAUAAGCUCUAAAUUAUGUACAUAUCGCCCGUCGCUA
RNAcentral lists this ribosomal RNA (405 nucleotides) under Mithrax hispidus. RNAcentral describes it as "partial 12S ribosomal RNA". Lineage: Eukaryota; Metazoa; Arthropoda; Malacostraca; Decapoda; Mithracidae. The record is from RNAcentral.